This 85-nucleotide transfer RNA is filed under the name Altererythrobacter sp. Its description in RNAcentral is "tRNA-OTHER". It matches the Rfam family "tRNA". From Rfam's summary of the family: Transfer RNA (tRNA) molecules are approximately 80 nucleotides in length. Lineage: Bacteria; Pseudomonadati; Pseudomonadota; Alphaproteobacteria; Sphingomonadales; Erythrobacteraceae. The record is from RNAcentral.
GGACAGGUGGCCGAGUGGUUAAAGGCAGCAGACUGUAACUGCUCCGCGCAAGCGUACGCUGGUUCGAAUCCAGCCCUGUCCACCA